GUAAUUGUUAUGAAUCAGCAAAAAGUUGGGGGGAAGCAAAAGGGGAGAAAAAUGUGGUAUAAAAAUAGAAACAAAAUUGUCACGUAAAUAGAAAGUUAAAGAUUUCUAACCAGAAGCAUUUUGGUUUUCACAUGGAACACUGCUAUGAGACUUGACUGAUGAAGUCACCAUUACAUAAUUUCAAGCCCACUGGGUGUUUCUUGGUUCCUUCCAAGUUUCCAAGAGAAUCCUCAGCCCUGCCUGGUCCAGUAGGGCCAUCACCCGAUAAGUUCCAGUUUCAAGGCCCAAAGCCUCAGAUUUCCAAGCAUUAUCUCAUACUGAUAGCCGAAGGGAUGGGAAAUGGAAAACAUAGACAGGGGCUCCCCUCCUGUGCAACAGACAUUCUACAUUUCCCAAAAGACUUCUAGAAGCCAGCAGUUGCUUUGUGCAGUAAUAACCUGCAGGAAUGACUAUCUGUCAGAGUGUGAGUCCCCUUCUGACACGUCAACACCAGAGAGACAUGGCUUACUUGCAGGGCUAGGCGCAAGGAGUUUGCUGACAAGGCUUUUAACAAAAUAAUAACUAAUCAGACAUGUCCGUAUUUCAUGUAGCCAUUCUUGUAAGCAGAUCUCAGUGCAAAAAUGUUUAUGCAGAAGAUCAGGAUAAAGCUGGAAGAAAUUUAAGAGGCAGGAAUUAUCCAAUUAAGAGUCAUAUUACAGGAUCAGCAAGAAGCCAGCUGGUCAAGGCCAUGCAACUCUUGGUGCAAGGUGAAUACAGAGGAAGCGGCAUUCUGUGCCUCAGAGAGUAUGUCCCCAAGCUCCUACUGGUGUCACUGAAGCAAUUUGUGUACAAGAACAAAUGCCGACAAAUUGAUCACAGCACCCAGAAUCUGGUUCUUAUCCGUGAGUGUAGCAUGGAUUUUGGAGCACACUACAUGUUUUUAGGAUGAAGGACGAUCAGUACAUGGAAAGUGAAGAGUGUGCUGCAGCCACCCAGCACAGCAGAGGGCUGGCCUCACUGAGUAAGAUCUCAGGUUUCUAAAUGGCUUCUUCUACAAUAUCCCUGUGUUUAUCAUUCUCAGACAAGCUGGGAUUCACAUGAUGUUGACAACCAUAAUAUAUUCUCUGUAAAUUGCAAUUGGAUCUUUGAAUCUCCAGACAGUUGAGAAACUAGUUUCUCUCACCUGUUUAAUUAACCAUGUCAUGUUUUCCAAAGAGAAUUAAUUGUCUCAUUGAAGCAGUAAGGAGACUGAAAGGUUCAAAAGAAAAAUAAAUAUGAGUGUGUAGCAGAGUAAACA
This 1276-nucleotide long non-coding RNA is filed under the name Phasianus colchicus (ring-necked pheasant). RNAcentral's name for it is "lncRNA (ENSPCLG00000002576.1)". Lineage: Eukaryota; Metazoa; Chordata; Aves; Galliformes; Phasianidae. The record is from RNAcentral.